RNAcentral lists this ribosomal RNA (274 nucleotides) under uncultured bacterium. RNAcentral describes it as "partial 16S ribosomal RNA". It matches the Rfam family "Bacterial small subunit ribosomal RNA", at positions 523 to 796 of the family's 1533-position model. The record is from RNAcentral.
AUACGGAGGGUGCAAGCGUUAAUGGGAAUUACUGGGCGUAAAGCGCGCGUAGGCGGUUUGAUAAGUCGGAUGUGAAAUCCCCGGGCUCAACCUGGGAAUUGCAUUCGAUACUGUCAGGCUAGAGUGUGGUAGAGGGAAGUGGAAUUUCCGGUGUAGCGGUGAAAUGCGUAGAUAUCGGAAGGAACACCAGUGGCGAAGGCGGCUUCCUGGACCAACACUGACGCUGAGGUGCGAAAGCGUGGGGAGCAAACAGGAUUAGAUACCCUAGUAGUCC